This 67-nucleotide transfer RNA is filed under the name Synapturanus rabus (Vaupes disc frog). Its description in RNAcentral is "tRNA-Phe". It matches the Rfam family "tRNA". Rfam says of the family: Transfer RNA (tRNA) molecules are approximately 80 nucleotides in length. The record is from RNAcentral. Lineage: Eukaryota; Metazoa; Chordata; Amphibia; Anura; Microhylidae.
ACUUGCAUAGCUUAACCAAAAGCCUAGCACUGAAAAUGCUAAGACGAACCUAACAAUUCUGCUAGUA